This is a long non-coding RNA of Olea europaea var. sylvestris, 340 nucleotides long. RefSeq lists it as uncharacterized. The record is from RefSeq and is a predicted model, not a curated record. Lineage: Eukaryota; Viridiplantae; Streptophyta; Magnoliopsida; Lamiales; Oleaceae. The transcript has 3 exons.
UUGAUGAUUUUUGUGCUUCGUUGCUUCCGAAAACUGUAGAAGCUUUGGUGACCACACAAGAUUGGCUCCCUUCCCUGAAAAAGAAGAAACUUGACAUGAAUGUUACAAACAAAGCCAUACAAAAUUAAAAUAAUGUUUCUUAAUGACUAAAGCUUAUGCGUGGUGGACUUGUGGGUGAUAUGAUAUGGAGAGAGAGCUCAAACUUCAAAGGCUAUGCUUGAGAUUUUUUUUCCUUUGUUUUUGUUGCUCACUUUAUCUAUAACAUUUGUUGAAUAUGUAGUCAUUGCAAUAUUUUUCAUAUUUUGGUUCCUUUUAAUUUGGUAUUAUUUUGUGGAUUGUU